Molecule: long non-coding RNA, 4605 nt
Filed under: Brassica napus (rape)
Lineage: Eukaryota; Viridiplantae; Streptophyta; Magnoliopsida; Brassicales; Brassicaceae
Description: long non-coding RNA (BNAP_LNC013424)
Source: RNAcentral
UUGAAGUAACCAGAACCGCAAGUACAUGUCUUCAAGGCUUUGAUUUGAGCUGAGGUGAGAGCAAGUGAUUUGCGGAAGCUACAGCUCAGGUUCUGAUGAACCUGGCUCUGAUACCAUGUGAGAUUUAUAGAGUUCUCUUCUCUGGUUGUGUUUGUGUGUGUAUAAACUCCAAUGGAGAAAGAUUAGAGCUUGCUCUAGGUGAUUUAGAAAGAGAUUGAUAAGAGUGUUUAUGAGAGAAUAAGAGACUUAGAACCAGAGAUUAAGAGACUGAAAGAUUAAGAGAAUAAGUGUUUAGAGAUUAGAGUUUCAGAUUCAAGAACUAGUUUUCAUUUCCAUGAAGUGGAGAGGGUAAAUCCCCCUUACUCCCUUAACCUUUACAAAUCGCCAACCUUAGGCUUAUAUAUGCCUUUACAAGAGCAAAUCAUAAACCUAAAUCUAAUGGCUGAUAAUACUUGAAGUUUAAAUGGAUGGUGUAGAUGAGCUGGUCUUGUUUGUCAUGAGGAGAAGGUGAUCUGAUUGGAAAGAAGAGGCUGGCGCCUCAUUGGCUCAUUCAAACUAGGCUGGCUCUUGAUUGGUUCUUCUUUGGCUCCUUUGUAUCAAGCUUGGAAUCAGUCUAGGUUCAUAGUCAAGGCUGCCUUUACUUUACAGCCAAGGCCAGCCUGUCUUGAACCUUAUCCACGUCCAAAGCUCCUCCAAGGGAUCUCCACUUGAUUCCCUUUUGAUGCCAUCUGAUCAGAACCUUAUCCAUUCGCCCAACACCUUUUCUUUAUGUCCCAAGCUUUGCACAACACCAUCAGGAGGUGUACGGACCAUUCCAUAUCCGUACCCUUGCGCCCUAACUUUGCACAAAGCUUAAAACACCCAAAUGGUCGAGUCUGCACUUCUAGGGUAGUCCACCGUCCGUACUGAUCCGUACAUGGCCGUACAGCCUCGCCCUAUCUUUGCACACUCGCCCAUUUGCUUCUCAACACUCUUCUAAGUCUCUCCUAGACUUUACCCUUACUUUAGAACAUCCAUCAGAUCACUUCUCUACACCUUCAGAUACUUCAUAACUCUUGAUAGGCAUUCUCCAUAGCUCUUGCCCUAUCUUUGUACAAGCCACAUCUCAACUCCACACCUUUGCCUUCUCCAUUUCUUUUCUUCAAGUUAACACUCCCCCUCAAGCUUGACUUUAGCUGAUCCUAAGUCAAGCUUGGAACCUUGAAGAACUUCCUCAUUAAAAACCUAACCAAGGAAAACCCUUUGGGACAAAACCUUGAUGAGGAAAAAAGAGUAAAGCCUCCAAGGCCUAGGGAUUGGCCAGUGAGUCAUUGUGCCUUACCGACAAUGUAAGGGACACAAAGACUCUGGAUCAUGGCCCUCAUAUGAUGCAAGAUAGAACCCACUCCUCUUGCUCAUCAUCAACACUUCUUGUACUCUUCUUCAGAUAGAUCUUGGUCUCUCCCCCUUUCUCACAACCUUCUUGUUGUGUAUCAAGUGCUCGGACUACCAGAUCUUCUUUGAUAGAUACAAGCUGAGUCUUGGCUGCUUCUUCUUCAUGAGUCACCACCAUGUUACUGAAACCUUCAUGACAGGAUGCUUCAGACUGUAGUACCAAUCACCUCACUCUAGAGGCCGCAUUGGUGAUUGCUUCUUCAUCCUUCAUUACCCUUCAUAACUGAUCUGCUCCUCUUCUUGAAUAACCACCAAGUACUCUCAGAUCAUGUAAGCUUCAACACUCCCCCUCAAGCUUGAGACUCUUACAGGAACAAGCUUGGAUGGAUAGCUUCAUAAUCUGUACCAUUACUCCAUUGCAACACCUUCUGAACUCGCCAUCUUCAUGGAGUGCUUGUGGAAGCUUCAGCUACCUCUUCAGCCACCUCACUUUAGAAGCCGCACUGAUAGAGUCUUCAUCUUCUCACAGCCAAGAGUGCUCUGAACACUCUCUUGCCUAGACACGCCACUGCCUAGACCCUGAUGGCUCCUUCUUUUUCAGUUGCUUGCAAUGGACCUCCUGAACCUUCUUGGUCCGACUGAUAGCUCACUAAACUCCCCUCCUCAAGCUUGGAUUGAGUAUAGGUCCAAGCUUGCAAGUGAGCUUCAGUGAGACUACACACCAGUGGCGCAUCACCACUCUUGUAUCAACUCUCCAUUGCACACACAAUGGGCAAACGUCUCCUACUUUCAACUCUGAUGGAUGGUGAACCAAGAACACAUCUUGUGAACCUGAAACAUCACUCAAACUCCAGCAAAGAUGAGACACAAUAGUAUUGAGAUCAUUCCUUGAUAAAUCAUCAAGUUUGAUUCCCAAUAUCACAAGCAAUGCAACAGAUUAAACAAGACAGUAUCAAGUUCUAAUCUUUGCAAGCAAACUCUCUAAGCACAAGCACUUUCUUUUCCAGAUUUAUGCAAGCUACUUAGGCAUUUUUAAGGCUUCUUUACUCAGCAAUUUAGACAUGAAUCUAAUGCUUCAAUGUAAGACAGCCACAAGACUAUAUGCAACAACUUUCAAUCAGUUUCAAUACAUGUAUGCAAGCAGAUUCAAUCAAUCACAACAAGCAUCACUAUGAACUGGAGUUAAGCAUAUUAAACAAUCUCAAUCACCAAACAAAGCUCUUUAAGCAUCCUGGGACAGAUUCUAACAUUCAUUUAGCAAUCUUUAAACAAUCCUCAGGUUUUCAAACACAUCACAACACAACAACCAGAUUUUAUCACAAGCUCAUUAUCACUUAAGGUUUAAAGAAUCGCUUACUACCAAGGAACCAGGUUGGUCCUUGUAUCAUCCUCGGAUUGAAAGCUCAUGACUUUGAGGGUAUGAGAGACUGGAUCGUUACCCAUCUCCUUCUCCUUCAGUUCAUGACUUCCUCCUUGUUUCUCAUACUCACAAAACCCCUCCUUUCUUCAAGCCCUCUACUCGCCAUCUUCUGGAUAGCUUUCUCUUCACACCGGAUGAGGAACAGCCUUUGGACAAGGCGCCAUGGACAAGGUUCGCGAGGCCUCUCCACACACCUUUGCUUCCAACAAGAGUCUUCAUCAGGUACAGGUCGGAAUGGCUGAGAGAUAUGGAGUAACACGCCAUGCUUCAGUCUUCUUCUUCUUGAAGUAACCAGAACCGCAAGUACAUGUCUUCAAGGCUUUGAUUUGAGCUGAGGUGAGAGCAAGUGAUUUGCGGAAGCUACAGCUCAGGUUCUGAUGAUCCUGGCUCUGAUACCAUGUGAGAUUUAUAGAGUUCUCUUCUCUGGUUGUGUUUGUGUGUGUAUAAACUCCAAUGGAGAAAGAUUAGAGCUUGCUCUAGGUGAUUUAGAAAGAGAUUGAUAAGAGUGUUUAUGAGAGAAUAAGAGACUUAGAACCAGAGAUUAAGAGACUGAGAGAUUAAGAGAAUAAGUGUUUAGAGAUUAGAGUUUCAGAUUCAAGAACUAGUUUUCAUUUCCAUGAAGUGGAGAGGGGAAAUCCCCCUUACUCCCUUAACCUUUACAAAUCGCCAACCUUAGGCUUAUAUAUGCCUUUACAAGAGCAAAUCAUAAACCUAAAUCUAAUGGCUGAUAAUACUUGAAGUUUAAAUGGAUGGUGUAGAUGAGCUGGUCUUGUUUGUCAUGAGGAGAAGGUGAUCAGAUUGGAAAGAAGAGGCUGGCGCCUCAUUGGCUCAUUCAAACUAGGCUGGCUCUUGAUUGGUUCUUCUUUGGCUCCUUUGUAUCAAGCUUGGAAUCAGUCUAGGUUCAUAGUCAAGGCUGCCUUUACUUUACAGCCAAGGCCAGCCGGUCUUGAACCUUAUCCACGCCCAAAGCUCCUCCAAGGGAUCUCCACUUGAUUCCCUUUUGAUGCCAUCAGAUCAGAACCUUAUCCAUUCGCCCAACACCUUUUCUUUAUAUCCCAAGCUUUGCACAACACCAUCAGGAGGUGUACGGACCAUUCCCUAUCCAUACCCUUGCGCCCUAACUUUGCACAAAGCUUAAAACACCCAAAUGGUCGAGUCUACACUUCUAGGGUCGUCCACCGUCCGUACUGAUCCGUACAUGGCCGUACAGCCUCGCCCUAUCUUUGCACACUCGCCCAUUUGCUUCUCAACACUCUUCUAAGUCUCUCCUAGACUUUACCCUUGCUUAGAACAUCCAUCAGAUCACUUCUCUACACCUUCAGAUACUUCAUAACUCUUGGUAGGCAUUCUCCAUAGCUCUUGCCCUAUCUUUGUACAAGGCCUAGGGAUUGGCCAGUGAGUCUUUGUGCCUUACCAACAAUGUAAGGGACACAAAGACUCUGGAUCAUGGCCCUCAUAUGAUGCAAGAUAGAACCCACUCCUCUUGCUCAUCAUCAACACUUCUUGUACUCUUCUUCAGAUAGAUCUUGGUCUCUCCCCCUUUCUCACAACCUUCUUGUUGUGUAUCAAGUGCUCGGACUACCAGAUCUUCUUUGAUAGAUACAAGCUGAGUCUUGGCUGCUUCUUCUUCAUGAGUCACCACCAUGUUACUGAAACCUUCAUGACAGGAUGCUUCAGACUGUAGUACCAAUCACCUCACUCUAGAGGCCGCAUUGGUGAUUGCUUCUUCAUCCUUCAUUAUGCUUCAUAACUGAUCUGCUCCUCUUCUUGAAUAACCACCAAGUACUCUCAGAUCAUGUAAGCUUCAACAC